Molecule: ribosomal RNA, 250 nt
Filed under: uncultured bacterium
Lineage: Bacteria
Description: partial 16S ribosomal RNA
Rfam family: Bacterial small subunit ribosomal RNA
Source: RNAcentral
UAGAUACCCUGGUAGUCCAUGCCGUAAACGUUGGGCACUAGGUGUGGGGGACAUUCCACGUCUUCCGCGCCGUAGCUAACGCAUUAAGUGCCCCGCCUGGGGAGUACGGCCGCAAGGCUAAAACUCAAAGAAAUUGACGGGGGCCCGCACAAGCGGCGGAGCAUGCGGAUUAAUUCGAUGCAACGCGAAGAACCUUACCAAGGCUUGACAUAUACUGGACCGCAUCAGAGAUGGGGCUUCUUUUGGGGGU